UCUUGCUUUUUGCAACCGGGUGACCGCGUUUUCUGCGCUACAGACUGCGUUUUUCUGACUCCUUUGUUUGAUAUCGUGUCGUAUCGUCGUAUUUAUGUAGUUAUUAGGAACGGCAAGCCUACGUUGUUGCGUCCUUUACCUGAAUAUCGUGACCGAAUCGAGUGUCGUCGAUUUGAAUCGUGUCUUGCGAACCAUCGUCGAACAAAAGGUCAUGGCUGGUCGCGGUUCAUCAGCGUUUGUUUUGAAACUGAUGGGUGCCACAAGGCAUGAAAGAGGUGACUUGCAGCAGCAAGACACCGCAAGCCUUCGCAGCAACUGGCUAGCCAGUGCUGCUCUGUUCUGAACUGUACUGCAUGUCAUGUGGAGGGUUUGUGCAAGCUCUCUGGGCGGCGACGCUAGCCACGGAGCUGGCCUCCCUCCCUUCCGUCAGCUGCAAUAUACUACAAGCACUGGGCUACAGCUGCAGCUAGCCCAUGGGUACCGUUCUGCGUCCUGUACUGCAUCUAGUUCGAAAGGCCAUGUGAAAGGCAGGUGUGGUCUUUAUGGGCUCUUAUUUCCCGUGUGUCGACGUGAGAAGGCAGCGGUUGUAUCGCCAAGGAAGUAGCAAUCAAUCUGCGCGCAUUUGUUCCAGCGGCACAGCGUUUACAAACCGGACUUUGCCCUUCAGCGAGGGGAAAGUCUACCGACUCGCCCUACAGUUGGUGAGCAUUGUGCAGCCGUGAGCGCGUAACUUGUCCGAAUGCUUUCGUCUGUAUACAGUGACAAAAUGACUCGCUGAAAUGCGAAGUACCAUACAGUACCAUGCCGUACAUCAAACCAUCGAUCACUUGCUGCAGCAACUUUGCGUUUUAAGUCGUAAUAAUAAACUGUAUUUUAAGGCUAAAAUCAUUAUUUCAAACUGCUCAAUUAUUCGGAAUUCUGCACGAUCCCCAUCGGGUCUGCAAUAUCGGUCGGUGGCUGUAUAACCUUUAAACACAAUGGUUACACACCACAGGUACCGGGGACCAUGACAUCAAUGAGCUGGCUUUCACCUUGUCCAAGGCAGCAGCGGAACACUACGGGCGGGACCCUGGAUCACUGCACCGUGGAUGCCGUUCUGUACCCUGAACGGCACUGCGUGUGGCUUAAGUGGCCAAGCAGAGGGUCAUUGCAUGACUAUUAUGAGGCGCCGCUAGCCAUUGUUUCAAACCGCCCUGAAUCGUGGAUCAAGCCUUGCAAGAUGGAAGUUCUCUUUAGGCCCAGCGCCUCUUGAUGGAUCAAGUCUUGUACGCCAUUCCCUCGUUUCUUUCAUAUAAGUAAAUUGUUGGUAUUUCUUUUAUGACAGUGCGCAUUACCUGCCGACCACGUUUUACAGUCGAAACUUCUUUUAUAUAGACCCCUUUCUUUGCUAAUGCCACCAGGCGGUGCUCCAGUUUGUUUGACGUCUCGGCGAACUUCUGAUUCAAAACAAGAAUGAACAAAACCCACUUUGACACUGCUGCCUAAAAUGUCGAUAAAACGUGUAACCACCAAUUCUCCAGGUGAGCGCCAAAAGAAUGAAGAAACGGGAGAUAUGUUAAAAUGUUUCGAAUAUUUUGUACACCAACUUGCCUCCUCCAAGACAUUAAAUUGUACUGCCAAUUGCCCUCAUUAAAUCUCCAACUUUGAUGUA
RNAcentral lists this long non-coding RNA (1651 nucleotides) under Ixodes scapularis (black-legged tick). RNAcentral describes it as "uncharacterized LOC120837196, transcript variant X1". Lineage: Eukaryota; Metazoa; Arthropoda; Arachnida; Ixodida; Ixodidae. The record is from RNAcentral.